This 492-nucleotide ribosomal RNA is filed under the name uncultured bacterium. RNAcentral's name for it is "partial 16S ribosomal RNA". It matches the Rfam family "Bacterial small subunit ribosomal RNA", at positions 29 to 507 of the family's 1533-position model. The record is from RNAcentral.
AGUGAACGCUGGCGGUAGGCCUAACACAUGCAAGUCGAACGGCAGCACAGUAAGAGCUUGCUCUUACGGGUGGCGAGUGGCGGACGGGUGAGGAAUACAUCGGAAUCUACUUUUUCGUGGGGGAUAACGUAGGGAAACUUACGCUAAUACCGCAUACGACCUACGGGUGAAAGCAGGGGAUCUUCGGACCUUGCGCGAUUGAAUGACGCGAUGUCGGAUUAGCUAGUUGGCGGGGUAAAGGCCCACCAAGGCGACGAUCCGUAGCUGGUCUGAGAGGAUGAUCAGCCACACUGGAACUGAGACACGGUCCAGACUCCUACGGGAGGCAGCAGUGGGGAAUAUUGGACAAUGGGCGCAAGCCUGAUCCAGCCAUACCGCGUGGGUGAAGAAGGCCUUCGGGUUGUAAAGCCCUUUUGUUGGGAAAGAAAAGCAGCAGGUUAAUACCCCGCUGUUCUGACGGUACCCAAAGAAUAAGCACCGGCUAACUUCGUG